This 468-nucleotide ribosomal RNA is filed under the name uncultured bacterium. RNAcentral's name for it is "partial 16S ribosomal RNA". It matches the Rfam family "Bacterial small subunit ribosomal RNA", at positions 28 to 507 of the family's 1533-position model. The record is from RNAcentral.
GACGAACGCUGGCGGCGUGCUUAACACAUGCAAGUCGAACGGAAAGGCCCUGCUUUUGUGGGGUGCUCGAGUGGCGAACGGGUGAGUAACACGUGAGUAACCUGCCCUUGACUUUGGGAUAACUUCAGGAAACUGGGGCUAAUACCGGAUAGGAGCGCCUGCUGCAUGGUGGGGGUUGGAAAGUUUCGGCGGUUGGGGAUGGACUCGCGGCUUAUCAGCUUGUUGGUGGGGUAGUGGCUUACCAAGGCUUUGACGGGUAGCCGGCCUGAGAGGGUGACCGGCCACAUUGGGACUGAGAUACGGCCCAGACUCCUACGGGAGGCAGCAGUGGGGAAUAUUGCACAAUGGGCGGAAGCCUGAUGCAGCAACGCCGCGUGCGUGAUGACGGCCUUCGGGUUGUAAACCGCUUUCGCCUGUGACGAAGCGUGAGUGACGGUAAUGGGUAAAGAAGCACCGGCUAACUACGUG